This 254-nucleotide ribosomal RNA is filed under the name uncultured Lachnospiraceae bacterium. Its description in RNAcentral is "partial 16S ribosomal RNA". It matches the Rfam family "Bacterial small subunit ribosomal RNA", at positions 524 to 776 of the family's 1533-position model. Lineage: Bacteria; Bacillati; Bacillota; Clostridia; Lachnospirales; Lachnospiraceae. The record is from RNAcentral.
UACGUAAGGGGGCAAGCGUUAUCCGGAUUUACUGGGUGUAAAGGGAGCGCAGACGGCAGUGCAAGUCUGAUGUGAAAGCCCGGGGCUCAACCCCGGAACUGCAUUGGAAACUGUACAGCUUGAGUGUCGGAGAGGUAAGCGGAAUUCCUAGUGUAGCGGUGAAAUGCGUAGAUAUUAGGAGGAACACCGGUGGCGAAGGCGGCUUACUGGACGAUAACUGACGUUGAGGCUCGAAAGCGUGGGGAGCAAACAGG